This 233-nucleotide long non-coding RNA is filed under the name Elaeis guineensis (African oil palm). RNAcentral's name for it is "long non-coding RNA (EGUI_LNC031541)". The record is from RNAcentral. Lineage: Eukaryota; Viridiplantae; Streptophyta; Magnoliopsida; Arecales; Arecaceae.
UCGCUAUCGGUUUCUUUUUCUCAAAUUUCUCUCAAAAUAUCCACAACUUUGGACGUAAUUUGCUGCAUAUUUUGCUUCGAAUAAUUAGGAAAAGAAACUGCUCCAAGUUGAACCCUGAUUUGGAUCAAGAAAUAUUUGAUAUGGUUGAAGUAUGCUUCUUUUUUCUAAUUUUACUAUUCCAAUAAAUUAACCUCCAAUAAUUUGAUGAUUUCUUCGAGUUAUGCCUCCUUUUU